UACGUAGGGUGCGAGCGUUGUCCGGAAUUAUUGGGCGUAAAGAGCUCGUAGGCGGUUUGUCGCGUCGACUGUGAAAACCUACAGCUUAACUGUGGGCUUGCAGUCGAUACGGGCAGACUUGAGUUCGGUAGGGGAGACUGGAAUUCCUGGUGUAGCGGUGAAAUGCGCAGAUAUCAAGGAGGAACACCGGUGGCGAAGGCGGGUCUCUGGGCCGAUACUGACGCUGAGGAGCGAAAGCGUGGGGAGCGAACAGGAUUAGAU
This 261-nucleotide ribosomal RNA is filed under the name uncultured bacterium. RNAcentral's name for it is "partial 16S ribosomal RNA". It matches the Rfam family "Bacterial small subunit ribosomal RNA", at positions 524 to 783 of the family's 1533-position model. The record is from RNAcentral.